UACGAGUGCCUCAAGCGUUAUCCGGAAUUAUUGGGCGUAAAGGGUGCGUAGGCGGUCAUGUUAGUCUCUUGUUAAAUUCUUCGGCUCAACCGGGGUCUGCAAGGGAAACGGCAUGACUUGAGGAUGCGAGAGGUGUGCGGAACUCUAGGUGUAGGGGUGAAAUCCGUUGAUAUCUAGGGGAACACCAAAUGCGAAGGCAGCACACUGGCGUAUUCCUGACGUUGAAGCACGAAAGCGUGGGUAGCGAAUGGG
Molecule: ribosomal RNA, 252 nt
Filed under: uncultured bacterium
Lineage: Bacteria
Description: partial 16S ribosomal RNA
Rfam family: Bacterial small subunit ribosomal RNA
Source: RNAcentral